This is a non-coding RNA of Podospora fimiseda, 84 nucleotides long. Lineage: Eukaryota; Fungi; Ascomycota; Sordariomycetes; Sordariales; Podosporaceae. The record is from the annotation of a GenBank genome assembly.
UCCUCUGUGGCGCAAUUGGCUAGCGCGUCUGACUGUUAAUAAACAGGUAUCAGGAGGUUGGAAGUUCGAGCCUUCCCGGAGGAG